Molecule: ribosomal RNA, 273 nt
Filed under: uncultured bacterium
Lineage: Bacteria
Description: partial 16S ribosomal RNA
Rfam family: Bacterial small subunit ribosomal RNA
Source: RNAcentral
GACGAACGCUGGCGGCGUGCUUAACACAUGCAAGUCGAGCGGUAAGGCCCUUUCGGGGGUACACGAGCGGCGAACGGGUGAGUAACACGUGGGUGACCUGCCCUCAGCUCUGGGAUAAGCCUGGGAAACCGGGUCUAAUACUGGAUAUGACUCCAUGACGCAUGUUGUGGGUGGAAAGCCUUGUGCGGCUGAGGAUGGGCCCGCGGCCUAUCAGCUUGUUGGUGGGGNGAUGGCCUACCAAGGCGACGACGGGUAGCCGGCCUGAGAGGGCGA